This is an RNA transcript of Humulus lupulus (European hop), 794 nucleotides long. RefSeq lists it as uncharacterized. Lineage: Eukaryota; Viridiplantae; Streptophyta; Magnoliopsida; Rosales; Cannabaceae. The record is from RefSeq and is a predicted model, not a curated record. The transcript is spliced from 4 exons.
CCAUUCACCAUUCUUCAACUUCAUCUCCAUCUGUCGAACCCAGAACCCAGCCGCAUCUCCAUCUCUCAAACUCAUGCGUCUUCUCACGCUCAUUAUCAAAACAAAAAUUACAGCUCUAUGACAAAAAGAGGGAAAUAGUGUAAUCUGUGAUGGAGAGAAAAGGGCUCUCGGCGCACGGGCUCGCGACAUUGUGAGCUCUAUCGGCUUUGGAGAACGGAAGCGGGGCAGGGUGGGGUUCAGGCACUAUGCUCGGUCAAAUGUGAAACAUGCAGCUAGAUGAGAUGAAGGCUCUUUUGGGAAUAAAUAUAAGUAUUUCAAUUUUUAGGAAAUGAUUCUUUGACUCACUGAAUAUUUACUGGCUGGAAGUUCAGUAAUGCUCUGAAAUUACAAUGGUGAUUGUGUGCAGAAUCUACUAGUGGACUUUGCAAGAGAGGUUCUUCGAGCAAGCUCUAUAGAAACCAAAGGGAGAAUGGCAAUAUAUGCCACUGCACAACUAAGAAAAACUUCCGAGAUUAUAUUUAUUGCAGUAUGAUGCUUUUUGUUGAGGGUACAAGCGUCAUACACACUUCUCAUAUAUCAUUUGGUUUGUCAUUUUAUGAAUAAUGUAAAAUUAGAACAAUUUUAUUGCAAGAUCUAUCAAUAGAGUAUAAGAUUAAAAUAUUUAGAUUAUUAUUAGGACAUAGAGUGGUUUGAGUUUUUUUAUAUAUUUAUUUUUUUAUUUUUAUUGAUAAUGUUGAAAGAUGUUAUAAGUUAGCUUACAUUAUAUGUUAAUGAGAAUUUUAAAUUUCUUUUAA